This is a long non-coding RNA of Gasterosteus aculeatus aculeatus (three-spined stickleback), 1099 nucleotides long. The record is from Ensembl. NCBI's taxonomy places the organism in Eukaryota, Metazoa, Chordata, Actinopteri, Perciformes, Gasterosteidae.
AGCAAAUAUGUUGAUUAUGUGGUGAUCGCAAAGAGGACAUAAGGUCCUUACCAGAAAGCCUGAUGAAUGGAGAUGGGACGGCACCAUCCAAAGCCAAAAACGCUUCCGUAUGAACUGAACGCUGUUAUCAAAGAGGAACCGUCAACAGAGACCUCAACAACAACCACUCUCAAGGUCACCGAAUAUCAAACCAGAGUCAGCUGUCCAGCAGAACGGCAUCUAUCCACAGCGGGUGUGAGGAAGGGUCGCUGGGCCUGAUAACGCUGUGUACCAACAACAUGUGGCGACCAGCUAACCGAUCAUCUCUGACAUCGUCCCCACCAUCUCCACGACAGGCCUAAAGGACCAGCGACUGAUCAAACACCACAUCCCCCCCAGCCUGGACCGUUUCCCACCGCUCUCCACUCAACCGCACUCAUCUGCAGAAAAGCAGCUACAUCAGAAUGUUGUUCAUCACAACGUGUCACGGUUUGGGUUCAUGUCUGGUUUUAUUUCGGAGUUUCCUUCCUCUGUUCUCCCUGGUCACGUCACUUCCUGCCUUGUCCUGUCGUCCCCUGUGAUUGUCUGUCAUGUCAUGAUUGUUCCCAGCUGUGUCCAAUCACCUGCUCCUCCCCAGUGUAUUUAAGCCGUGUGUGUCUGUUGUCACUUGUCGCGUCAUUGUUCAUUGUAUGGAAGUCCUAGUCCACGUCCCUCUCCACGUCCCUGUCCACGUCCACGGUCUCGUUCCUGUCUUCGUUUUUUGCCCGUUGGCCUUUUGCUUUUGAAAACCUUUGUGACUAUUAAAGUCUUUUGUUUCUUGAGAAGUCUGCGUUUGAGUCCUGCCUCCCCCACGCAUCCCUGACACAACGUCCCUCAUGGAACUCUGGAGUUCUCACUGCAACUGGUGAUUUUGCUGAAAAACGGAGCCCAGGCCUUUGUGAUUGGCAGCCACACCAUCUCCCCUCUAGUGUUGAAAUCACAAACCCCCCAUGUGUGCUCGGCCGCCUCCUGUUCACGCUUUACUCGACUGCUCCUCUAAACACGAAGAGAUGUUUGCAGAUGAUGCAGCCAAAUCGCCGGCCAACAUUACAAACAAAAAAGUGACUUUGUAUUGAAAGUG